This 331-nucleotide unclassified non-coding RNA is filed under the name Hevea brasiliensis (rubber tree). The record is from RNAcentral. Lineage: Eukaryota; Viridiplantae; Streptophyta; Magnoliopsida; Malpighiales; Euphorbiaceae.
AGAGUCAGACAGCUGGGAUUUUGGAGUAGGUGCUGGUUUCUAUCUAAAUGCAACACAAGAGAAAUGGAAGAACUGGAAGAUGUAUGACUAUGUGGUCAAAGAAUUGCCGACACUUCUUCAUGAAAACUUUCCUGAACUUGAUACAUCGCGAGCAUCUAUCUUUGGUCACUCUAUGGGUGGGCAUGGAGCACUGACAAUCUACCUGAAAAACCUGGAUAAGUAUAAGUCAGUAUCAGCCUUUGCUCCUAUUGCAAAUCCCGUUAACUGUCCCUGGGGCCUGAAGGCUUUUACAAACUACUUGGGUGAAAAUAAAGCUGAUUGGGAGGAAUAU